UGCAAGUCGAGCGGGGUGANGUAGCUUGCUACAUUACCUAGCGGCGGACGGGUGAGUAAUGCUUAGGAAUCUGCCUAUUAGUGGGGGACAACAUUCCGAAAGGAAUGCUAAUACCGCAUACGCCCUACGGGGGAAAGCAGGGGAUCUUCGGACCUUGCGCUAAUAGAUGAGCCUAAGUCAGAUUAGCUAGUUGGUGGGGUAAAGGCCUACCAAGGCGACGAUCUGUAGCGGGUCUGAGAGGAUGAUCCGCCACACUGGGACUGAGACACGGCCCAGACUCCUACGGGAGGCAGCAGUGGGGAAUAUUGGACAAUGGGCGAAAGCCUGAUCCAGCCAUGCCGCGUGUGUGAAGAAGGCCUUUUGGUUGUAAAGCACUUUAAGCGAGGAGGAGGCUACUUGGAUUAAUACUCUAGGAUAGUGGACGUUACUCGCAGAAUAAGCACCGGCUAACUCUGUGCCAGCAGCCGCGGUAAUACAGAGGGUGCGAGCGUUAAUCGGAUUUACUGGGCGUAAAGCGUGCGUAGGCGGCUUUUUAAGUCGGAUGUGAAAUCCCUGAGCUUAACUUAGGAAUUGCAUUCGAUACUGGGAAGCUAGAGUAUGGGAGAGGAUGGUAGAAUUCCAGGUGUAGCGGUGAAAUGCGUAGAGAUCUGGAGGAAUACCGAUGGCGAAGGCAGCCAUCUGGCCUAAUACUGACGCUGAGGUACGAAAGCAUGGGGAGCAAACAGGAUUAGAUACCCUGGUAGUCCAUGCCGUAAACGAUGUCUACUAGCCGUUGGGGCCUUUGAGGCUUUAGUGGCGCAGCUAACGCGAUAAGUAGACCGCCUGGGGAGUACGGUCGCAAGACUAAAACUCAAAUGAAUUGACGGGGGCCCGCACAAGCGGUGGAGCAUGUGGUUUAAUUCGAUGCAACGCGAA
Molecule: ribosomal RNA, 915 nt
Filed under: uncultured bacterium
Lineage: Bacteria
Description: bacterial SSU rRNA
Rfam family: Bacterial small subunit ribosomal RNA
Source: RNAcentral